This 281-nucleotide long non-coding RNA is filed under the name Musa acuminata (dwarf banana). RNAcentral describes it as "long non-coding RNA (MACU_LNC011610)". Lineage: Eukaryota; Viridiplantae; Streptophyta; Magnoliopsida; Zingiberales; Musaceae. The record is from RNAcentral.
UAACUCUCACUCUGGACUUUCGAACAGGAACAUUCAACUCCCUUACACGGGACUACCACUACUGGGAUUAAACCAGAACAAGAAAGAUACUUUUUACCAGGCAAGUAACUACUCAUGUUACGCGGCAGGAAGUUUACCGUGAAAAAAGGCAGUGAAGUGAUUUCCCUUCUUAGCUUGGUCCAUUGAGAUUCUAUUUUGACGUUUUCUCGGGAUUUUUGAUAGCGAAGGUGUUUUGCCUCCUGGAAGGCAUCAUUGAAAUCAAAAGUUCACGUUUUCCCGGG